GAUGAAGAACGUAGCGAAAUGCGAUACUUGGUGUGAAUUGCAGAAUCCCGUGAACCAUCGAGUCUUUGAACGCAAGUUGCGCCCGAAGCCAUUAGGCCGAGGGCACGCCUGCCUGGGCGUCACACGUCGUUGCCCCCCCAUCUACUCCUUCGGGAUUGCGGGGGGCGGAUGAUGGCCUCCCGUGCGCCUCGUCGCGCGGUUGGCAUAAAUGCCAAGUCCUCGGCGACACACGCCACGACAAUCGGUGGUUGCGAAACCUCGGUUGCCCGUCGUGUGCGGUCGUCGCGCAUCGAGGGCUCGAAAAAAUUGCCGGGCUCCGGCUCGGCUUUCAACGCGACCCCUGGUCAGGCGGGGUUACCCGCUGAAUUUAAGCAUAUCAAUAAGCGGAGGA
This 391-nucleotide unclassified non-coding RNA is filed under the name soil metagenome. RNAcentral describes it as "partial contains 5.8S ribosomal RNA, internal transcribed spacer 2, and large subunit ribosomal RNA". The stretch from base 1 to 122 matches the Rfam family "5.8S ribosomal RNA", at positions 35 to 154 of the family's 154-position model. The record is from RNAcentral.